RNAcentral lists this small nucleolar RNA (106 nucleotides) under Eutrema salsugineum. Its description in RNAcentral is "Plant small nucleolar RNA R71". It matches the Rfam family "Plant small nucleolar RNA R71". Rfam says of the family: R71 is a member of the C/D box family of snoRNAs containing the C (UGAUGA) and D (CUGA) box motifs. Multiple nearly identical copies of this snoRNA have been identified in Arabidopsis, and it is thought to function as a 2'-O-ribose methylation guide for 18S ribosomal RNA. Lineage: Eukaryota; Viridiplantae; Streptophyta; Magnoliopsida; Brassicales; Brassicaceae. The record is from Rfam by way of RNAcentral.
AAACCAUGAUAAGAGCAGUCUCUCUCAUAUUCCUUGAAUCGUUCCCAUGCCUCAUAGAAUGAUUCUAUUGUGCCUUGUUGGAAACUUUGGAUCUUGUUCCUCAGCU